GCACCGGUGGCGCAACUGGAUAGCGCAUCUGACUUCGGAUCAGAGGGUUGGGGGUUCGAAUCCCUCCCGGUGUACCA
RNAcentral lists this transfer RNA (77 nucleotides) under bacterium. RNAcentral's name for it is "tRNA-Arg". It matches the Rfam family "tRNA". From Rfam's summary of the family: Transfer RNA (tRNA) molecules are approximately 80 nucleotides in length. Their secondary structure includes four short double-helical elements and three loops (D, anti-codon, and T loops). RNAcentral also lists the same sequence under 5 other names. The record is from RNAcentral.